CGCUGGAACUUCCACACCUGGUUGGAUAUUGAUUUUACUUCAAAGAAGGUUGACACAUCUAAAAGAAUCUUUGUUUCCAACUGGACUGACUCAUUGAGAGGAAACCUUCACUGCACCUCACCAGUGCAGACAGAAGACCUGGAGGCAGGACGGGAGGCAUUUUAUACUUCAGCACGAUAUGGGCCCUGACUUUUCAUUUUCUACAUGGAGACAUAUUGAUCCUGCCUCCCAAGCCUAUAAGCUUUACCAGGAGAGAGGCAGGCCCCACCCCAAGAUCCACUAUCCACUCUUUGAAGAAAGAUUAGAGCCAUGUUCUCAGACUUUGGGCUGCAUCCUAAUCCCUGCGAAGCUGCACAAUGUGUGAUGACUCCACCCUCCACCCGAUCCAGAGGGUCUGGGGUGAGACCCAAGGCUGAGAGGCCUCGAUGGCUUCCUGGCCCCAUCUCCGGCAGCAGCCUCUAUGGCUGGGCUCUCCUGCAGGCUGGGUGCACCCCAGGCCCUCAGAUGGUUCUAACCAGAAUCGAUGGGCAGCAGUGACUUCGACUGUAUCAUCAAUCUUGGCUGCCACAAGGUUGGGUGUCCAGGCCCUCAGCUGACCCUUGAGGUGGGCCCCCACACAGAGCUUUGCUCUGCCCCCAGCCCACCCUCAUUCAUCGCCCAGACCACGGCCAGGGACCCAGCUCCUCAUGUCCCAUACCCUGCUCUCACCUCAUCACCAGUGCAACCACAGCACCGAGGCCUGCCUGGCGGGGGCUGUGGCUUGAUGCUUGGGAUUUCAUGAGAAGUCUCUCUCCUCCCGACUGACGUGGUUGCACAAGCCACAGUGUGCCUGGCCACCCCCACUGGGACCGCCUGCAGCUCGGCCAUUUCCCCCAGAGGCGCUCUGAUCUGCCCUCCUGCCUCCUCUCCUGUUCUUGUUAGUAGAGAGCCACACUCUGGGAGCUGUGUAGACCCAGGGCCUCAGAGAGGGCUGGAGGAUGGCUUGCCAGCCAAGCGGGUCAGUUUGGUGAGCACUUCAGAAUGAGACGCCUUGAUUUGUUUCCCUAUUCCAAGAGUUUACCAUCUGGAUUUAGCCAUGCCCUUGUAAUGACCCCACCAAUUUCAUGAAAAAUGGAAUCUGUGAAUUUGCUCUUUAAAUCACUAGUCAUCUCUGUUCAUUUAAAAAUAAAAUUAUAGUUCCUUAAGUUUGUAUUGCUAAAGGCAUCAGAAGAAUUCAUCUUAAGCAAAUAGCAUGUGACUAUUUUGCCUUAUGAGAUGGUGUAUUUGGGACUAGGAUGGCCAUAUAUCAAUAUGUGACAGGAUAUCGAGAUCCAAUGUUAGCCAGAGAUCUCAAUUAGUCCCAGUUUUGUUCUCAUAAUUCAUUUUAAUUCAGUGAAUUUUUAGAUACUUUUUUAAGCCCUUGAAGUUUUUCUUGAUUCCAACAUAUCAAAGCAUUCAAAAUAUACUGAAUGUCAAAUGUUCAGGAGGAGGCCUCACUGUGUAAAACCAGAACUUGACA
This 1498-nucleotide long non-coding RNA is filed under the name Homo sapiens (human). RNAcentral's name for it is "HSALNT0218058". The record is from RNAcentral. Lineage: Eukaryota; Metazoa; Chordata; Mammalia; Primates; Hominidae.